UUUGACUUUAUUUAAAAGGAAAAUAGAAAUUUUCUUGAGAAAAUUUUUUAACAGGGUCUUUUUGGGCUUUUUCUCUGCUUUUAUAUAAAUUGUAAUGUAGGGUUUGAUUAGGCGUGUACGGUCUUUCUCUUUUUACUUUUUGGUGGUGGUUGAUUGCUGGGGAGGUUUUGGAUUUUAUUUUAUAUCAGAUUGAAGUUGUGCAUUAAAAUAUUUUUAGAUGAUUUUAUUAUUUGGAUUUGGUUAGAAGAAACAAGGUGAAUUUGUGGGGUAAAGGAUAUUUAUGAGAAAAAAAAUAUGAUUCUGGUUAGAAUUUGAGUUUUUUAUGUUCUGAAUUUUGAUUAUUAGUGUUUAUGUUAUUGAUAGGAUUGAUUGCUUGAAAACUUUUCUCCCUUUUGAGGAAUAUUUUCUCCUGAGUUUGUUUCCUUGCUCUCUUCCUUGGUUGUCAAGAAAGAGGAACGGUUCUAGAACAGCAUACGCCUACCUCUAUGCAUCAAGCACUUGGAUCUCUUGGUAUGAGUAUGACAAGGCUCUUGAAUUUGAGAAUUCGCGAUGCCAAUCUUACAAGUGAGAUAAAGUCGUAAAAGGGUUUGUCUCACGUACCUUUUUAUUGACAGUAAAAUGAGUUUCUGCCUAUUUAAUUCCAAAUACUACACCUUGCAAUGCCUUACAAAAACUAGGUGAUAUCUGAAACUCCUUCGAUCAGGGAAAAUAUGAUGAAGUAGGUGUAAAGGGAAGGUCAUUGGGAUUACAGAGAGAGGCGUAGAUGACAUACUAAUGGUGUAGAAACAGAGAAGAUGUUGGGAUUGCAGUGCCAAAGUGAAGCGACUAUCAAUAGGCCUUGGAACAGAUGGAUCUAGGAGGCAGACUUUUGGUGCAUGCGUAACUUUGUAUCAAAAAAACUAAAUGUGACNNNNNNNNNNNNNNNNNNNNNNNNNNNNNNNNNNNNNNNNNNNNNNNNNNNNNNNNNNNNNNNNNNNNNNNNNNNNNNNNNNNNNNNNNNNNNNNNNNNNGCUACUUGGCACUUGCUAGUGCCUUUUUUGACACACCAAUCUUCAUAGGGAGUGACAGGAUUGGAAACUUUGGAAUGUCGGUCCUUUGGGAGAUCAUAGGAGAGUGAAGUGGAAAUAGAUUCUUCAUGCUUUUUGCUCAAAAUAAAAUUUGCUUCUGUGUUUUGCCAUUUCUUGUAUAUCACUCUUCUGUCAUAAAUAUGGUGUUAUGUAUCUGAAUAAGGUGCCUGCUUGCUCUGUUAUUUGCGCCUCUGGGGAGUUAUCCCAGGCCUGGUUCGAUUGUUUCCUUGGACUUUGAACACCCCUUUUCAUCUUUCUUCCAUUUUUUUUGUCUUUAAAAACAUGGUUAUAUUAUUGUUGGUCUUUUCUUUUAUUAGCAUCCUCCACUUUUGAUGAUAGAGUGAUUUUGAUCAUGAAUGCCUUGAAUUGGUAUAGUGCCUAAAUGUCCCUUCCAGUUUUAUAGAUAUGUAAAUGAUGUCUUCUUGUUUGUCUAGGAAACCAAAAGUUUUUGUUUUUUGUUGAGCUUUGAAACAAAGGUUUUGUUCUUGUAGUGCCACAAUGGACACACACUCUGUUCAAGCUGUAAAGCAAGGGUACUCAACAAAUGUCCCGGUUGUAGGCAGCAGCUCGGUAAUAUAAGGUGUCUAGCUCUGGAGAAGAUGGCCAAAUCACUUGAACUGCAUUGCAAGUAUGAGGAGUUUGGAUGCCCUGAGAUCAUCCCUUACCACACCAAGCUCAUGCAUGAAGACUCGUGUAACUUCCGGCCAUACAGCUGCCCAUGGUAUGGAUGUCCGUGCUCUGCUGUUGGGGAUAUUCCACUCCUUGUUUCUCACCUGACAGAUUAUCACAAGGCAGUCAUGUUCAAUAGCUGCAACUUUAAGCAUGGAUUUUUAAUUGGAGAUCUCUAUAAAAACCCAGGCCGCAGAUGGAUAGUAAUUGUAAGUACUUUUUUUACAUUGCCAUAAAUUUAGAUUCAUAAAACGUAACCUUUAGAUAAGCACCUUGGCACCAUACAUUAAGAGAGUGAUGCCAAAAACAGUGCAUACAUGAUUCACAGGCUACUGAAAAACAGUCCCAGUAGGAUUACAUGGUUGGUUGUUGGAUUAUGGCAAAUAACAGAACUUUCUCUUUUGCCUUUUCAGAUCAUCAAUUGUUUUGACAAACACUUCUGUCUCCAUGCUGAAGCCUUCCUUAUAGGGUCGACUCCCGUUUACAUGGCAUUCCUCAGCCUGAUAGGCAACCAUGCAGAGGCCGGCAACUACAGCUACAGCCUGCAGAUAGGGGGAAAUGGGCGGAAGCUUACUUUUGAGGGCGUCCCACAAAGCAUUAGAGAGAGUGAGAGGAGGAGUUUGGAGAGUGCGGACAGCCUCAUUGUGCCGGGAGGCAUGGUGCAUUCCUUGGGAGGGGAGACGAGAGAGCCAAAACUUGAAAUUACAAGUCGGAUAUGGAAAACCCAGUGUGGAUAAAAGUAUAAAACAGGUUGAUUGAUUGAUAUAAGGGUUUUUGAAAUUCAUCCCUCUCUCUGUAAACAAAGACGAAGAAGACAUGAGUAGAAUAUGAAAGAAUUGGUUGGGUAGAUUCGUGGAUUGAAUUAAUACAAUACAUGAUAUAAAAAUUCUUGAUUUUACAAAUAUUUAUAUUAUUUUUUCCAUAUAUUUAUGCUAAAAGAUAAAGAUAAGAUGAUCAUAUAAAAUGAUAAUAUAAUUUUCACAUUUUAAAAAAUAUCGGCUUAAUCUUAGAAUAAUAUAAUAUUUAAUAUUUUUAAGAAUAAUUUUUAUAUCUAUUAUUUUAUUUUUAAUCAUUUUAUAUAUUUAUAUAAUUAAUUUUUAAAAUAACCUUUAAAAAAUAAGUAAAAAUAGUUCAAAAAUAUUAUUAAAAAAAGACAGUAGAAAAUAAUUUUUCAUUGUUAAAUAUAUUUUCUUGUUUUUUGAAGAUAAUAAAAAAUUGUUUUAGAAAUCGAUUAUCGUCGUUCUUAAUUUUAUAUUUUUAUUUUUCAAUAAAAACUUUGGUAAGGAGUAUUUUACCAAAAAAAUAUUAAAUAGUUAUAUUUUAAGAAACAUGGAGGUUGCUCUCUUGGAUACGUAGGAAAAAAAAUUAUUAUAUAUAUAUAUAUAUAUAUAUAUAUAUAUAUAUUAUGUUUUUAAAAGAUAGCGAUUAUUUUUGAAUUUCAUCUAAUUCAUUGUAUUUCUUAUUAUUUUAAUAUUAUAAUUAUAUUUUUUAUAGUUUGAUUUUUUUUAAAUAAUUAUACAAUAUCUUUCUAAAUUAAUUUUAAAAAUAUUUUUUAAAAGAUACGCUUAAGUCUUAACUAACAUUGUAAUAUCAUGUUUAUCAUUAAAAUACAAAAGGAUUUAUAAACAAUUUAUAUUUUCUUAUUGUAAAAGGAUUUCUACUCAACAAGAAUGGUAACUAUAGACUUAUUCCUAUUCAAGUAUUGGUUUGCUCUUCUAUAAAUAAGAACAGAACAACUCUCACUCAGAGGUGAAUCAAAUCAAGAGAGAAAAAGGGAAAAAAAAACCAAUCUCUCCACAGUUCCUCUCUAGUCUCUGUAGAAUUGAGGCGUUGGGUGAAUGGGAAACCGCGUCGCAGAUCUUCACUCCCUAACCACGUUCCAGGAGCUGCUCAAGUGCCCCGUUUGCUUCAACUUUAUGCCGUCUCCAAUUUAUCAGGUUUGCUUUUUGAUCGAUUUUGCUUCAUGUGUUCUUUUCUCUCUAAGUUUAGUUGUUUUUCUUUCACUUUUUUUAACAGGGUCUUUUCGGGUUUUUUCUCUGCUUUUAUAUAAAUUGUAAUGUUGGGUUUUAUCUGCAAUGAAACAUGUAGAAUUCAUACAUAUAUCCUAUGAUCAAUGUAGAGAUACAUGAACAAAAAGGACUAGAUAAAAAUGUAAAAACGGGUAUCAAAACUAAGGUAAAAGUAGCUGUAGAUUUGAUUAUCCUUAAGUUGGUUUACACAACUUCUAACAGCAACCAGCCACUGAAAUUAGCCAACUAUACAUAGUGCCACUCCACAACCCCAUGAUCCUAUCUAUACAAAACAUAUCACCUUAAGCACAUGAGGCAAUCAAGCUGAACUUUGUGCUCUGUUCGGUAGCUGCAGAAACGUAGAUGAUCAUAUAAAUCAAUGAAAGAAGAAUUCCAAAAUUUAAAGCAUGAUAACAAAAUGAAACUCUUUCUAAGUUCAUUAUUCAGUUUGAAAUUUGUAUGAUUACUUAAGAAUACUUGGUCCUCCACUUGGUUUUGGGAUGAAUGAAGGAGAGUAGAGCAUUAAGAAGAAGAUGAUGAAUGAAUGACAAAGAAGUGAACUUACCUGAAAUCGUUCAGCUGCCAAAGGGUCACUGGGAUUUUUAUCAGGAUGAACUUGCUUUGCUUGCACAAAUAAUAGCAAAAGUUUUGAGAAAGUAUUAUUCUUGCUUUGAGUGAAAGAAACAGGAGUAUGCAUUGUUCUGUAAACCAAACAAGGCCAUGGGGUCAAUCUAUGUCCGUCUCAAUCAACAUUAAAUGGCAUCGAGAGAAAGGAAACCCACCAUAAUGUAGAAACUAUAAAAAUGGUAUUACUCCAUAAAUUAACAUCAUCAGACAGGUCAGUACCAAAUGGCAAAAUUCUUAAACUAUAAACUUAGAUCAUCUUAACCAAAUAAGAAUAUCAGAAAAUUCACAAAUGAGAAUUUCAAGAAACACAAUAACCAUUGAAAUUGAAUGCAACAAAAGUAAAUUAGGUAAAAAGAAAUGGAAAACCCAUACAUUAUUUUAGUUGAAAUGCAACAAAUGGGAUCACCAUUGAGGUUCCUUUGAUACAAUGUCUAGUUUUCCAGUAAAGCCAAAUACUACUUGAAUGACCCUUUAUAUAUAUAUAUAUAUAUAUAUAUAUAUAUAUAUAUAUAUAUAUAUAUAUAUAUAUAUAUAUAUAUAUAUAUAUAUAUAUAUAUAUAUGCGAGCUGUGACACCGACUAACAACGGUGAGNNNNNNNNNNNNNNNNNNNNNNNNNNNNNNNNNNNNNNNNNNNNNNNNNNNNNNNNNNNNNNNNNNNNNNNNNNNNNNNNNNNNNNNNNNNNNNNNNNNNAAAGAAAGAGAGAACCCAUACAUUAUUUUAGUUGAAAUACAAAAAAAGAGAUAUCCAUAGAGAUUCCUAUGAUACACAGUCUAUUUUUCCAGUAAAGCCAAAUACUACUUGAGUGUCCCUUUAUAUAUAUAUAUAUAUAUAUAUAUAUAUAUAUAUAUAUAUAUAUAUAUAUAUAUAUAUAUAUAUAUAUAUAUAUAUAUAUAUAUAUAACUGAUAUGUGAAUACUGCUUACAGAAUUCAGUGGUUGCAAUGCCUGGACUGCCUGGAAUGCAAGCAGUGGCACUGAGUAUAAACGGUGAUAAAGCCAUGUUCUAUAAUGUCAGGCUCUUGGGGGCACAGGACACCCUCAUGGAUCUGUCUGGAACACACUACUUUAACCAGUGUUACAUCCAAGGAAGCAUUGACUUUAUCUUUGGUGGGGCAAGAUCAAUCUAUAAGGUAAAGGGGUUGAUCUUGAUCAUUUUGAUAAUAGAAAUUACUGUUAGUGCUUCAAUCCAAAUGUUGGGUAUUUCUGUAUGAUUCUGAUACUUGAAUUUGCUGUGUUGAACUAGGGAUGUGUCAUCGAAUCAAUAACGACAACUUCAGGAGCAAUUGCAGCUCAUCGCAUGGAAUCACCUAAUGAUGGCACAGGAUUCUCCUUUGUAAACUGCACAAUCAUUGGAAUUGGUAAGCCAAACCUGUUUUCUUUCUUAAUUAGUGUGUCACAUUGCAGGGUGAUGUUUCAAGCUACCCUUGCUAAAGUUGGUCACCAUUUGUUUAGGAGGGGAUGAUGGUAGUAUGGCAAUAGCCACAACACAAAUAAAACUGAAAACAACAACCAUCCCCUCUUCUCCCACUCAAACAAAUCACAAUCCCCACUUCCCAUUUGAAAACAUAACACUAAUUACAGCAUAUCCCACCUUCAAGCCCCCCCACAAACCAAAAGACGGGACAAGUUUAUCCCUAGAUACCAAAAAGGCUUGACAAUAGAAAACAAUUGAAAUUGAUAAAAUACAACAUAUCUAAGCAUUUAUCAAAAGCUUUAGACAAUAAAACAACAGUUUUCACAAUCAAUAGAAUAACUUGUCUUUAUUUCACUAAAAUAACAAUAAUACAAAUGAAUGACAACUUCUAGUCAAGUUUCUCAUUUAGUGUCAUGUGAUUAAUUUCACAUUUGAAUAAUUUCACAUUUGAAGAUAUAUGGGAGAGUCCCAUCUCAGCCCGCUACCAAAUUUAUUGACUAUUUUCAAUUCGUUUUAUUAUUUAAUCUAUUGGGUCUGUACGCAACAGACAUCUUAAUUUUGUUUUAUUUUUUCUUUCCUUUUAUUUCUUAUUUUCCUUAUAUUUUUUCUCAAAAUUUUCGAAAAUCAAAUAUAGUCUUAAAAUUUUAUAAUUUGUUCAUCUAAAGUUUCAAGAGGUAGCAUAGAUCAAGUGGUGCUGCAUGUACCUAGAAUUUGCCUUACACAUCUAAUAAAUAAGCAUAAUAUAUCACCUAACUAGAUUUCACCUUAUACAUGCAUCCAAUAAAUAUAAUAAUAAUAAAUAACCUACGGGAUGAGUAUUGCAUAUACUGUAAGGAAAUGCUUUUAUGUUUUCAUGAUUUUUUUCACUAAAAUGCUUUCAUAAGAUAAUAUUAGAUUUUAAAUAUAUGUACAUAUAAAAUCAUAAUUUACUUAUUUUAUUUAUAUUUAUAUUCUUUUAUAUUUAUGAAAUAUAUAUAUAUAUAAAAGGUGUCAUGCUUGUUUUUAACUUUUUAGUAAGCUUUUUCCAUUUUUUGUGUUUUCACAUUUUUGCUUUUUUAGCAUUUUUAUUUUGAUAAACCUUAUUUUCAAACUUUGUUUCUUUGUUCUAUUUAAAAAUAAAAAAUGAAAACAUUUUAAAGAAACAAAGCCUAUGUUAUUAAGAAAUUAUAAUUAUAUUUGUCCACACUUAAUUUGAAAUUUAAAUACUCUUAAUUUUAGAUUUAAAUUAUGAGAAAGAAUAGGAUAGACAUGAGAGACUCCUUCCAUGUAUUAAUUAAUAGAAAUAUUUGGGCCCAAAAAUAAGAUAAUUCUUGUAUUUGGACUAGUAAUAUUCGUUGACCCAAAAAUGUAAAUAUAACUUCAAGUUAGAUAUUUUUAUGGAUUUUAGUUUUAAUUGUAUUUUUAAUUUUAAUUUUUUUUAUUUUUUUGUUGAUGUUAAUUAACAAAUUUUUUAUUCAAUUUCAUUAGAAAAAAAUGAGAAGACAAUAAAAUUUAUAUAAUAUAAGAUAUAAAAUUAUUAUUAAAUAGGGGAUAAAAAAGAUUUAUUUAUCCCCGGAGAAUCUUAGAGAAUUUUUCUAGAAUGAUUUGUAUCUCAUGUUAUAUAAUAUAAAUCCAAUCAGGAAGCUUGCCUUCUGUUUGUAGAAAUAGUAACUAACUUUAAAAUCCAUUAAGGGAAGCUUUCCUAUUCGUGUCUGUCUCUCUGGUUUGUUCUUCUAUAUUAAGAACUGAACAACACAGAGAGGAGAGAAAAAAAUACCCAAUCUCUCCACAGUUUCAGUUUCUCUCUCUAUUCUCUGUAGUAAUUGAUUGACGAUCCCGGUUUCAAAACUUGGGGCGGUGAAUGGGAAACCGCGUUGUUCCCGGCGAUCUUCACUCCCUAACCAUCUUCGAGGAGCUGCUCAAGUGCUCCGUUUGUUUUGAAUAUAUGAACCGUCCAAUUUAUCAGGUGUGUAUGUUCUUUCUCUUUUCAUUUUUGGUGGUGGUUGGUUGCUGGGGAGGUUUUGUUUUGUUUUGUUUUUUUGCCUGAGAUGCACGGAUACCAAAUUGAAGUUGUUCAUUGGAUUAAAAUUUUUUAGAUGAUUUUAUUUAUUGGAUUUUUUUUUUUUGUUGAGUUGGAUUGAAUUGGAUUUGGUUAGAAGAAACAAGGUGAAUUUGUGGGGUAAAGGAUAUUCAUGAGUAAAAAAAUAUGAUUCUGGUGAGAAUUUGAGUUUUUUAGGCUAGUGUUUAUGUUAUUGAUAGGAUUGAAUGCUUUCCUGAGUUCGUUGAUUGAAUUCGCUUCUUUUUCCACGUAGUUUCUUGGUUGCAUGAAGUUGGUGAUGAAACUUACGAAUAACUUCCAUGCAUGCAUGAUAAAUUGUUAAGAGUCCAAUCCUAAAUCUUUCUGGCAAAAGGCACUAAAUUUGUAUUGCCCACUGGGUUUUAGAACUGCCUCUCCCUAUCCCUGGCCCCUGGGACCUGUAGUAAUUGAUUGACAUUACCGGUUCGCUUCCUUGCUCAGUUCCUUGGUUGUCAAGAAAGAGGAACGGUUUCUAGAACAGCAUACGCCUACCUCUAUGCAUCAAGCACUUGGAUCUCUUGGUAUGAGUAUUUGAGAAUUCGCGAUGCCAAUCUUCCGAGUGAGAUAAAGUCGUAAAAGGGUUUGUCUCACGUACCUUUUUAUUGACAGUAAAAUGAGUUUCUGCCUAUUUAAUUCCUAAUUCUACACCUUGCAAUGCCUUACAAAAACUAGGUGAUAGCUGAAACUCCUUUGAUCAGGGAAAAUAUGAUGAAGUAGGUGUAAAGGGAAGGUCAUUGGAAUUACAGAGAGAGGAGUAGAUGACAAACUAAUGGUGUAGAAACAGAGAAGAUGUUGGGAUUGCAGUGCCAAAGAGAAGAGACUAUCAAUAGGCCUUGUAACAGAUGGAUCUAGGAGGCAGACUUUUGGUGCAUGCGUAACUUUGUAUCAGAAAAA
This 8736-nucleotide long non-coding RNA is filed under the name Vitis vinifera (wine grape). Its description in RNAcentral is "long non-coding RNA (VVIN_LNC005207)". The record is from RNAcentral. Lineage: Eukaryota; Viridiplantae; Streptophyta; Magnoliopsida; Vitales; Vitaceae.